RNAcentral lists this ribosomal RNA (253 nucleotides) under uncultured bacterium. RNAcentral's name for it is "partial 16S ribosomal RNA". It matches the Rfam family "Bacterial small subunit ribosomal RNA", at positions 524 to 776 of the family's 1533-position model. The record is from RNAcentral.
UACGUAGGGUGCGAGCGUGUCCGGAAUUACUGGGCGUAAAGAGCUCGUAGGUGGUUUGUCGCGUUGUUCGUGAAAACCGGGGGCUUAACCCUCGGCGUGCGGGCGAUACGGGCAGACUGGAGUACUGCAGGGGGAGACUGGAAUUCCUGGUGUAGCGGUGGAAUGCGCAGAUAUCAGGAGGAACACCGGUGGCGAAGGCGGGUCUCUGGGCAGUAACUGACGCUGAGGAGCGAAAGCGUGGGGAGCGAACAGG